Molecule: long non-coding RNA, 884 nt
Organism: Exaiptasia diaphana
Lineage: Eukaryota; Metazoa; Cnidaria; Anthozoa; Actiniaria; Aiptasiidae
Exons: 3
Source: RefSeq, a predicted model, not a curated record
UUGGGCAUAAACCAUAAACCCGAUCUAACCUCAGCACAUAAGUUUAUAGGCUUUCUACUCGAGAAWGUUGACUAAAUGAAAGCCUUCGAAGUCAGAGAAGGGAUUCAUUAGACCUCAACCAAAAUAAGGUAUAUUGGUAUUUCAUCAGUACUUUAAAAAAGAUCCUGAAUGAAGUCUAGUGUGCAUCAAAUAGAAAAAUAAUCCUGCAAAAUCCUGCAGACCAAUAGCUUUCAAACAGCAACUUUCAGAGAUUCUUUCCCUGGAAACAGUCCAUUAUGGUCCCUGGAAAAAAUAGAAAUUGUAAUAGAAUUAAUCAAUUUUGAAAGUUAUCCUUCAGUGAUGUAGAAAAAUACAAAACGUAGCUGAAGCUGGUGGUUGUAGGUUAGGUUUCGUACAGUAAUCAUAAGUCCACUACAUGUAUGCUUACCAACACAAAAACAAGAUAUUUAGUAAACCACAUAAUUUCAGUGAUUUURGUUUUGUUGUAUUAGAGUCAUCAUAAAAAAAUGUUGAAAAUAUUGAACAAGAUCUUUAGCUUUAAGAAUUGAAUUAAAAAAUAGGAUUAAUUUAUUAUUCUGCUUAUUUAUUUGUUUAUUAUUUGUUUCUGUUGUACUUUMAGUUGAUAUAUAAUAAUUCCUAGGUGUAAGGAGUUUUAAAGGUUGCUUGCAGGGGCAGUAGCUUUCAUGUCCUUCCUUUAUUAGUUCAUGGCUUUUUGCACUUAUUGUUGAUUCCAUUUUUGAGAAUAAUUGUUUUUUGUAGCAGUGGCAUCGUGCAAAACAUUUAGUUUGCUGAAGAAGGGUGAAUGGCYGAAACACAUAUCAAAGAGUAGAAAAACAAGUUGCAAGUUGUGUGCCUUUUUCUUCAAUUAAGUUAUAAUACUUAUA